This is a long non-coding RNA of Rosa chinensis, 280 nucleotides long. RefSeq lists it as uncharacterized. The record is from RefSeq and is a predicted model, not a curated record. Lineage: Eukaryota; Viridiplantae; Streptophyta; Magnoliopsida; Rosales; Rosaceae. The transcript has 3 exons.
CCAUUUUGCCCAAAGAACAAUGACGUUUACAUCUAUGCAAUCUAAAUGGGAAAAGCUGCAUGUUCUUCAGAAGGAGUGUCGAGAGCAAAAUAUUUAUCUCAGAUAUACUGCAUGUAUAUCAACAAUGGAACUUGGAGCAUUGACUUCAUGGAGCCUUGCUUGUUUACAGAAGGUCAUUGAACCAAAGGUGAUACAUCGAGACAUUAAGCAAAGGUUUCUUCUUGGCCACUAAGCACUUUGUAGUACCUUUCAAAUUUUCUACGAUCAGCCAUCCCAAGAU